This 661-nucleotide ribosomal RNA is filed under the name uncultured bacterium. RNAcentral describes it as "bacterial SSU rRNA". It matches the Rfam family "Bacterial small subunit ribosomal RNA", at positions 94 to 788 of the family's 1533-position model. The record is from RNAcentral.
AGUGGCGAACGGGUGAGUAACGCGUGAGUAUCUGCCCUUAGGAGGGGGACAACAGUUGGAAACGACUGCUAAUACCCCAUAUGUCUACGGAUGAAAGAUUUUAUCGCCUGAGGAUGAGUUCGCGUCUGAUUAGCUAGUUGGUGAGGUAAAGGCUCACCAAGGCGACGAUCAGUAGCUGGUCUGAGAGGAUGAUCAGCCACACUGGGACUGAGACACGGCCCAGACUCCUACGGGAGGCAGCAGUGGGGAAUUUUCCGCAAUGGGGGCAACCCUGACGGAGCAAUACCGCGUGCGGGAGGACGGCCUGUGGGUUGUAAACCGCUUUUCUCAGGGAAGAAGACCUGACGGUACCUGAGGAAUCAGCAUCGGCUAACUCCGUGCCAGCAGCCGCGGUAAUACGGAGGAUGCAAGCGUUAUCCGGAAUUAUUGGGCGUAAAGCGUCCGUAAGUGGUUAAUCAAGUCUGCUGUUAAAGAGCGGAGCUUAACUCCGUUUAAGCGGUGGAAACUGGUUGACUAGAGAGUGGUAGGGGUAGAGGGAAUUCCCAGUGUAGCGGUGAAAUGCGUAGAUAUUGGGAAGAACACCGGUGGCGAAAGCGCUCUACUGGGCCACAUCUGACACUGAUGGACGAAAGCUAGGGGAGCGAAAGGGAUUAGAUACCCC